GGUCUAUUGGCCCAAUGGAAAGGCGUCUGACUACGAAUCAGGAGAUUGCAGGUUCGAGCCCUGCAUAGAUCA
This 72-nucleotide transfer RNA is filed under the name Linnemannia gamsii. RNAcentral's name for it is "tRNA-Arg". It matches the Rfam family "tRNA". Rfam says of the family: Transfer RNA (tRNA) molecules are approximately 80 nucleotides in length. Their secondary structure includes four short double-helical elements and three loops (D, anti-codon, and T loops). Lineage: Eukaryota; Fungi; Mortierellomycota; Mortierellomycetes; Mortierellales; Mortierellaceae. The record is from RNAcentral. RNAcentral also lists the same sequence under 9 other names.